Musa acuminata AAA Group (dessert banana) is the source of this 7619-nucleotide RNA transcript. RefSeq lists it as uncharacterized. The record is from RefSeq and is a predicted model, not a curated record. The transcript has 17 exons. NCBI's taxonomy places the organism in Eukaryota, Viridiplantae, Streptophyta, Magnoliopsida, Zingiberales, Musaceae.
UAUUUUCUCAAAUAAAAAAAGUCUUUUUCGCCGAGAGAGAGAGAGAGAGAGAGAGAGAGAGAUCCGGUAGGGUGAUCGCGCUUCCGUACCUCGCGGAACGGAAACCCUAGGUCCCGAUUCGGAGGUCGGAGGAACCCUGACCCUGUCUCCGGGACGAUCGAGCCCCCGCUCCCUCUCCCGCCACAAAAAGAUCACCAAAUUUCCCGCCCGCAGACUCGCGGGUCGAUUCAUUAAUCUGAUGCCGGGCAAUCGGUCGUAGGUGUUGGAUUCUUCUCCUUCUGCGUCUAGCUAUGCUACUUUGUUUGGAUUUGCUUGUCGAGGUGGCGAAGUUCGUGCUCUUGGCCCCGAUUUGAGAGGGAUAUGGUGGGGAUUACUCUUUGGCUCAGUCACUUUUUGAGUGUUUAUGUUGAAGGAACUCAUAACGUUGUCAGGAAAUUGCUUUUGUUUGGCAAGGAGAUAAAUGCACAAAAUAUCAGGGAAAUUAAGUUAUAACCCCUGGUCAGAGCAGGCUGGAUUUUUGCUAGGAGUGAAGUUUCUGAGGAGGUCUAGAUUUUCCUCAAGGAGCACUCAUUCUGUAUUCAUCCAUAUGAAGAAGCUGGAAGUUGGCUGACUUUGUAGAAUUUGCCAUGGGUCGUUCAGUAUUUGAAUAAUAUGCUGUGAAAUCUUAAUCUAAAAGGUUCCAGUUCUCAGUUCUCAGUAUCCAAGGAAAGCUGUUCUGAUCUUGUUGAAGAUUUAGAGGCAAGAGACUGCUGAAUAUGCUGCUUCUUAGGUGCUUCCUCUUUUGAGUGUCUCUUUCUUGUCCAAGACAGCACAUUGUGCAAGCAAUAAGCAGUUGUGGCAACAAUAUUUGAUGUACAAGCAGCUCCAAGAGGUUCAGAGACAGCAGCAACUUCAGCAGCUAGAUCAGGGAGCAGGCAGCUGAGUCCGCCUAGUCAGUUAUCUGCUGUAUCAAAGCCUGCAACAGGAAAUCAGUCACCCGCAAGGUUAAACGAAAGCCAUCAGUCAAGCAUAUAGCAGUAUGUGGCUUAUUAAUUUUGUUGGAGGCACAUCCAACAUACCUAGUAAAUCUCAUGUGUUUAAAGCUGGAAACAUGAACUUGGUGCAGCCCAGUUGCUCUGUUGCCAUGCAGAACCAUGCAAAUGGUGUAAUUAUAUCAAAUGAUCAAAAUCAGGCAACACAAUCUAUGGGAUUUAUUCCACAAAAGAUCGAUCACUCUUUUCUUGGCAUGCCUACUUCAGAUACCAGCUCUGUCAACAACUAUUCACAUUUAUUAAGAAUGUCUAUUGAUUGUCAUGAUUUGAUGACUAAGGCAGCUGCAACCAAGGCAGAAAAGCCAACAUAUUCAUCUAGCACUUUGUGAGCUGAUUAUCAAGUGGCCUCACAAAGUUGCUUUCAGGAUAAGGCUUUAGCUACUGCACAGAAUUUUCAGGGGAAACAUGACUUUGGCAAUUAUCCAGUACAAGUUCUGGGUAAUAAUGUUCCAUCAAGAAACUUUCAACAGAUGAACAAUAUGCAAAGCAGCAUUCAGUUCCAGGAAUUUCAUGGUACACAAAAACAAGAAAUGUCAUCUAGUAAUUCACUGGAAGAGCCAUUAUCAGACGUAGGGACUUGUAGCACUGUGGCUAGUCUAGAUCCUAUAGAACUGAAGCUCUUGUUGGGCUCUGAUGAUGAUCACAAUUGGGGUCUUCCAUCUGGAGGGAGCUUUAUCUCUGGCAUGGGUAGUGAUAUUCAUGGGCAUCCUUGAGAGAGUGGUUAUUAUGGUGUGUUUCCUUCUAUCCGUAGUGGGAGCUGUAGUGCUCUUAUACAAGAGGCUGUUCAAGAUUCCAUUGCUGAUAAGGGGCAGGAGGAACGGAGUGGCAUGGGUUUUCAGAAAACAGAGCAACUGACCGGUAAAGCAUUUUGUAACUACUAAUGAUAAUGGGAAACAUGCAGCUGUUUGGGAUGAUAGCAACCUUAAGAGUGCAACUUCUUUAAUUCCGGGAACUUUUCCCUUGAUUAUUGGUGUUAAUGCAACCUCAAACUCUGAUCCUAGUAAUUGGCAUUCCUCUGACUGAGGUUCCCCAUGCAUCUUUCAAGACUUCUUCCGGAGGACCCAGUAACAAAGAGUUCCUUCAGAGCAGAAUCAUACCCAAGCUGUGGAAGGUGGCCUUCAAGUUCAAGUACCUUCAACUAGUGGAGCCUGGGCUGGACAAACUAUUCAGCUGCGUGAAAUUAGUUCUGGUAACUUUUGAAGUCACAGGACAGAGGAGGUGUUUGGGGUAACCAACAAAACAUGUUCUCUUCUAAUGUUUCUAUCCUGCCUGUUGAUAAGCUAAACAGCUUAAAUGCAAGUUAUCCGGUGGCAUCAAGAGGUCACAACACUUUAAAUUAUCAAGAAAUUGAUGACAUUUUGUGGAAGAUUGGUGAAAAUCAUGGUAAUCUGAAUUGUGGUUUGCAACCAGUUAAAACCGAUAUUAUUGGCAGCCCCAAGAUGCAAGCCGAAGAUUUUUUAGCAGGUCAGUUUGAUUCUGUAAAGAAACCAACACCUUAAAGUUGGACCAGGACAUGCAUCGACAGGUUCUCAAUGCACGGCAAACUGUCUUUGAGGAACAGUUUGCCCUUAAUUUAUGUGUGAAUUCUGGAGGUGACAAAGAUGUUAUUGAGAACCAGAAUCAACCAACGGGGAGACCACAAACUUGGAACACAUCUUUAAGUGCUGCUGCAGAAAUAUUGGGUGAUAGGCUACUAGAAGGAAUGCAGAAGAGUGGUCACAGAUGAGGGUUAUGUUGGAAAUGCAGCAAAAGAGAAGUCCUUAUUGACUGGUAAUAUAACCAGUUUAAAAUGUUGUGCAGGUCAUUGCAAAGUUUGAGGAAGACUGCAGGGCCCAUCCAACUCCAACUCCGUUUCUCAAGGAUCGAAUAAUGAGGAGCAACCAUUUGUUGGAAAGUCAGUCACAGUUUUCUGGUCAUACUGUUUCCAACAAUUCUGUGGAUGUGCCUAAGAGGAUUGCAGUGGGAGCAGAAGAAUUGCUGUCUGGAAAUACCAUACCUCUCUGUGCCCCUGGCAAUUCUUUUGAUGGAUCAACUGCUCAAAUUUUCCAGAACGAGACAGUUGCUCCAACAAGUAUGCCAGAGUUGGACUGGCCUCAGGAUUUCAAUCGAUUGGCUGAGAAGGCUGAUGAUGGAUCUGAAACUAUGGAUGAUGGCCUCUUGAUUCCUGAGUCACGAAGAGGGCUAAUCCUGACAACCCAGCUGAUGCAUCAUCUUAUUCCAGCUGUACCAGCUAAGGUAUUCAAAGGAGAGACCACUAAAGCUUAUGAAAGUGUGACAUUCUCCAUUGCUAAAUCAGCACUUGCGGAUGCAUGCAGCCUCUCCUGUUACUCGGAAAGUGAUUCCCAUUUGCUGAUGCAACAUGAAAAUAUAAUUUUACGGGUGAGAUAUAUGUAAUAUGGGCGCAUACUUUUUCCCACAAUAUAUAUAGAUUUAUCGAGGCUCAGUCACUUUUUGAGUGUUUAUGUUGAAGGAACUCAUAACGUUGUCAGGAAAUUGCUUUUGUUUGGCAAGGAGAUAAAUGCACAAAAUAUCAGGGAAAUUAAGUUAUAACCCCUGGUCAGAGCAGGCUGGAUUUUUGCUAGGAGUGAAGUUUCUGAGGAGGUCUAGAUUUUCCUCAAGGAGCACUCAUUCUGUAUUCAUCCAUAUGAAGAAGCUGGAAGUUGGCUGACUUUGUAGAAUUUGCCAUGGGUCGUUCAGUAUUUGAAUAAUAUGCUGUGAAAUCUUAAUCUAAAAGGUUCCAGUUCUCAGUUCUCAGUAUCCAAGGAAAGCUGUUCUGAUCUUGUUGAAGAUUUAGAGGCAAGAGACUGCUGAAUAUGCUGCUUCUUAGGUGCUUCCUCUUUUGAGUGUCUCUUUCUUGUCCAAGACAGCACAUUGUGCAAGCAAUAAGCAGUUGUGGCAACAAUAUUUGAUGUACAAGCAGCUCCAAGAGGUUCAGAGACAGCAGCAACUUCAGCAGCUAGAUCAGGGAGCAGGCAGCUGAGUCCGCCUAGUCAGUUAUCUGCUGUAUCAAAGCCUGCAACAGGAAAUCAGUCACCCGCAAGGUUAAACGAAAGCCAUCAGUCAAGCAUAUAGCAGUAUGUGGCUUAUUAAUUUUGUUGGAGGCACAUCCAACAUACCUAGUAAAUCUCAUGUGUUUAAAGCUGGAAACAUGAACUUGGUGCAGCCCAGUUGCUCUGUUGCCAUGCAGAACCAUGCAAAUGGUGUAAUUAUAUCAAAUGAUCAAAAUCAGGCAACACAAUCUAUGGGAUUUAUUCCACAAAAGAUCGAUCACUCUUUUCUUGGCAUGCCUACUUCAGAUACCAGCUCUGUCAACAACUAUUCACAUUUAUUAAGAAUGUCUAUUGAUUGUCAUGAUUUGAUGACUAAGGCAGCUGCAACCAAGGCAGAAAAGCCAACAUAUUCAUCUAGCACUUUGUGAGCUGAUUAUCAAGUGGCCUCACAAAGUUGCUUUCAGGAUAAGGCUUUAGCUACUGCACAGAAUUUUCAGGGGAAACAUGACUUUGGCAAUUAUCCAGUACAAGUUCUGGGUAAUAAUGUUCCAUCAAGAAACUUUCAACAGAUGAACAAUAUGCAAAGCAGCAUUCAGUUCCAGGAAUUUCAUGGUACACAAAAACAAGAAAUGUCAUCUAGUAAUUCACUGGAAGAGCCAUUAUCAGACGUAGGGACUUGUAGCACUGUGGCUAGUCUAGAUCCUAUAGAACUGAAGCUCUUGUUGGGCUCUGAUGAUGAUCACAAUUGGGGUCUUCCAUCUGGAGGGAGCUUUAUCUCUGGCAUGGGUAGUGAUAUUCAUGGGCAUCCUUGAGAGAGUGGUUAUUAUGGUGUGUUUCCUUCUAUCCGUAGUGGGAGCUGUAGUGCUCUUAUACAAGAGGCUGUUCAAGAUUCCAUUGCUGAUAAGGGGCAGGAGGAACGGAGUGGCAUGGGUUUUCAGAAAACAGAGCAACUGACCGGUAAAGCAUUUUGUAACUACUAAUGAUAAUGGGAAACAUGCAGCUGUUUGGGAUGAUAGCAACCUUAAGAGUGCAACUUCUUUAAUUCCGGGAACUUUUCCCUUGAUUAUUGGUGUUAAUGCAACCUCAAACUCUGAUCCUAGUAAUUGGCAUUCCUCUGACUGAGGUUCCCCAUGCAUCUUUCAAGACUUCUUCCGGAGGACCCAGUAACAAAGAGUUCCUUCAGAGCAGAAUCAUACCCAAGCUGUGGAAGGUGGCCUUCAAGUUCAAGUACCUUCAACUAGUGGAGCCUGGGCUGGACAAACUAUUCAGCUGCGUGAAAUUAGUUCUGGUAACUUUUGAAGUCACAGGACAGAGGAGGUGUUUGGGGUAACCAACAAAACAUGUUCUCUUCUAAUGUUUCUAUCCUGCCUGUUGAUAAGCUAAACAGCUUAAAUGCAAGUUAUCCGGUGGCAUCAAGAGGUCACAACACUUUAAAUUAUCAAGAAAUUGAUGACAUUUUGUGGAAGAUUGGUGAAAAUCAUGGUAAUCUGAAUUGUGGUUUGCAACCAGUUAAAACCGAUAUUAUUGGCAGCCCCAAGAUGCAAGCCGAAGAUUUUUUAGCAGGUCAGUUUGAUUCUGUAAAGAAACCAACACCUUAAAGUUGGACCAGGACAUGCAUCGACAGGUUCUCAAUGCACGGCAAACUGUCUUUGAGGAACAGUUUGCCCUUAAUUUAUGUGUGAAUUCUGGAGGUGACAAAGAUGUUAUUGAGAACCAGAAUCAACCAACGGGGAGACCACAAACUUGGAACACAUCUUUAAGUGCUGCUGCAGAAAUAUUGGGUGAUAGGCUACUAGAAGGAAUGCAGAAGAGUGGUCACAGAUGAGGGUUAUGUUGGAAAUGCAGCAAAAGAGAAGUCCUUAUUGACUGGUAAUAUAACCAGUUUAAAAUGUUGUGCAGGUCAUUGCAAAGUUUGAGGAAGACUGCAGGGCCCAUCCAACUCCAACUCCGUUUCUCAAGGAUCGAAUAAUGAGGAGCAACCAUUUGUUGGAAAGUCAGUCACAGUUUUCUGGUCAUACUGUUUCCAACAAUUCUGUGGAUGUGCCUAAGAGGAUUGCAGUGGGAGCAGAAGAAUUGCUGUCUGGAAAUACCAUACCUCUCUGUGCCCCUGGCAAUUCUUUUGAUGGAUCAACUGCUCAAAUUUUCCAGAACGAGACAGUUGCUCCAACAAGGGACAAUGGGAGGCUUCGGGGAGGCUGACCUUUACGGACGGACAUGUAAGGGUGCCGCACGACUUAGGCAAAACCAGUUAAGUCCGUGACAGUCCGACGUUAUGGUAUGGGUGGUAUGUACCGGUCUAGUUUGGGCCGUUAUAGCAAAGCUAUUUGCUACUUCAUCAAGUGCAAUCCAUGAAGGCUUCUGUCUCUUAUCUAAACAAGGUGACAGGAAACACACUAAAAGACUUUUAGUUCCAGUGCUUCACAGAUGAGCUUAAAUGUAGAUCAGAAAUUUGUUCAUGGGCAGAAUGCAGUCUUGAACCUAGUUGUGAACCUAGUUGCGAAGCAUAAGUAUGCCAGAGUUGGACUGGCCUCAGGAUUUCAAUCGAUUGGCUGAGAAGGCUGAUGAUGGAUCUGAAACUAUGGAUGAUGGCCUCUUGAUUCCUGAGUCACGAAGAGGGCUAAUCCUGACAACCCAGCUGAUGCAUCAUCUUAUUCCAGCUGUACCAGCUAAGGUAUUCAAAGGAGAGACCACUAAAGCUUAUGAAAGUGUGACAUUCUCCAUUGCUAAAUCAGCACUUGCGGAUGCAUGCAGCCUCUCCUGUUACUCGGAAAGUGAUUCCCAUUUGCUGAUGCAACAUGAAAAUAUAAUUUUACGGGUGAGAUAUAUGUAAUAUGGGCGCAUACUUUUUCCCACAAUAUAUAUAGAUUUAUCGAGGUCCUAAGAUACCUUGGGAAGUUUCGGGGAGACUGACCUUUGCGGACGGACACGCAAGGGUACCGCACGACUUAGGCAAAACUAACUAAGUAUGUGACAAGCAGUGAUUGCUGUUGACAUGUCUUGUUCUGAUGGUACUUCCAAAGGUGGUUGUAUUAGUGGAAGUUUUGUAGAUCAAGAGUUGGUCAUUCAGACAUUUAAGGUAAUUUAUGUCAUCUAAAGAUUCUCCUGGAAGCAAGUUGUCCAAUGGAUGCGGCAGGGAUAGUGAGCGUAGAGCAAACUUGCAGUGCUGCAUUGGCAUUGCUUGCUUCAUCCAUGAUUCAUCCUCAUCCAGUAGAGAAAUCAUCAUGUCGCUGGAAAGCAUAUAUCUCAAAGUUGAGUAUGUUUGAUUCACAGCAACAAGAAGCUAUAAGAGUUCCCAUAAGAUCUCCUCUCCAUUGAUCUCUGUUGAAGAAGCCAAUGGAAUCCAAUGGAAUAUGGGGUCUCGAUCUCCGAUUGGGGGGGAUGAACGUUCUUGCAAUUCUUGGAAUGUGUUCGUGUACGUGGUUUUGUUCUAAUUUCUUCUUUAAAGUAAAUUUUUGUGUAUAAUUAUGUGUUUAGAACAGAUACUAGGUGGAAUAGGAAUAAUGUGAAGUUUAACCGGAAUCGAGGUGCGUGUAAAUGUAAAUAUCUUAUAAUUGUAUGUAUUACUAAUAAAAUAUAUUAAGCAUGAUUUAUCUUAUCA